Molecule: non-coding RNA, 29 nt
Filed under: Rattus norvegicus (Norway rat)
Lineage: Eukaryota; Metazoa; Chordata; Mammalia; Rodentia; Muridae
Source: RNAcentral
UCCCUGUGUACUAUACCCUGGUCAUGGCA